RNAcentral lists this ribosomal RNA (416 nucleotides) under uncultured eukaryote. Its description in RNAcentral is "bacterial SSU rRNA". It matches the Rfam family "Eukaryotic small subunit ribosomal RNA", at positions 592 to 1013 of the family's 1831-position model. The record is from RNAcentral.
CAAUAGCGUAUAUUAAAGUUGUUGCGGUUAAAAAGCUCGUAGUUGGAUUUCUGUCGAGGGCGGCCGGUCCGCACUACGUGCGUGUAUCUGGUUUGGCCUUGGCAUCCUCUUGGGGAACGUCUCUGCGCUUAAUUGCGUGGAGCGGUAUUCAAGACUUUACUUUGAGGAAAUUAGAGUGUUCACGGCAGGCCUUCGCCUUGAAUAUAUUAGCAUGGAAUAAUAAUAUAGGACCUUGGUUCUAUUUUGUUGGUUUCUAGAGCUGAGGUAAUGAUUAAUAGGGAUAUUUGGGGGUAUUUGUAUUACACGGUCAGAGGUGGAAUUCUUGGAUUCGUGUACGACAAACUACUGCGAAAGCAUUUAUCAAGGAUGUUUUUCAUUGAUCAAGAACGAAAGUGUGGGAUCGAAGACGAUUAGAU